RNAcentral lists this ribosomal RNA (635 nucleotides) under uncultured Rhodoferax sp. RNAcentral's name for it is "bacterial SSU rRNA". It matches the Rfam family "Bacterial small subunit ribosomal RNA", at positions 8 to 625 of the family's 1533-position model. Lineage: Bacteria; Pseudomonadati; Pseudomonadota; Betaproteobacteria; Burkholderiales; Comamonadaceae. The record is from RNAcentral.
AGAGUUUGAUCCUGGCUCAGAUUGAACGCUGGCGGCAUGCCUUACACAUGCAAGUCGAACGGCAGCACGGGAGCAAUCCUGGUGGCGAGUGGCGAACGGGUGAGUAAUAUAUCGGAACGUGCCCAGUCGUGGGGGAUAACGCAGCGAAAGCUGUGCUAAUACCGCAUACGAUCUCUGGAUGAAAGCGGGGGACUCGCAAGGGCCUCGCGCGAUUGGAGCGGCCGAUAUCAGAUUAGCUAGUUGGUGGGGUAAAAGCCCACCAAGGCGACGAUCUGUAGCUGGUCUGAGAGGACGACCAGCCACACUGGAACUGAGACACGGUCCAGACUCCUACGGGAGGCAGCAGUGGGGAAUUUUGGACAAUGGGCGAAAGCCUGAUCCAGCAAUGCCGCGUGCAGGAAGAAGGCCUUCGGGUCGUAAACUGCUUUUGUACGGAACGAAACGGUCACCUCUAAUACGGGUGGCUAAUGACGGUACCGUAAGAAUAAGCACCGGCUAACUACGUGCCAGCAGCCGCGGUAAUACAUAGGGUGCGAGCGUUAAUCGGAAUUACUGGGCGUAAAGCCGUGCGCCAGGCGGGUUUAUAUUAGACAGAUGUUGAAAAUNCCCCGGGGCUCAAACCUGGGGAACCUGCA